UGCCAGCCCUAAACUUAGAUAGCAAACUACUACCAUAUCCGCCAGAGAACUACAAGCAAAAUACUUAAAACUCAAAGGACUUGGCGGCAUUCCAUAUCAACCUAGAGGAGCCCGUCCAAUAAUCGAUAAUACGCGCUCAACCCAACCAUUUUUGGCCACUCCAGCCUAUAUACCGCCGUCGUCAGCUAACCUUGUGAAAGAAAAGUAGUAAGCACAACAGCCAUCGCUAAAACGUCAGGUCAAGGUGUAGCUAAUAAAAUGGGUGUGAUAGGCUACAUUUUCUAUUAUAGAAAAAACGGAAAAUACAAUGAAACCUUGUAAUAGAAGGUGAAUUUAGAAGUAAACUAAGAAAGGAUCCUUAAUUUAACAUCGCCCUGGAAUGCGCACACACCGCCCGUCACCCUCCUCAAAAAAAUCAGAUGAGGCAAGUCGUAACAUGGUAAGCGUACUGGAAAGUGCGCUUGGAUUA
This 469-nucleotide ribosomal RNA is filed under the name Cordylus niger. RNAcentral's name for it is "partial 12S small subunit ribosomal RNA". It matches the Rfam family "Bacterial small subunit ribosomal RNA", at positions 831 to 1525 of the family's 1533-position model. Lineage: Eukaryota; Metazoa; Chordata; Lepidosauria; Squamata; Cordylidae. The record is from RNAcentral.